UCUCCGUUGGUGAACCAGCGGCGGGAUCAUUACAGGACUCGCAAGACUCCUACAACCCUGUGAACUUAACUAUAAGCACGUUGCUUCGGCGGGUGUCUCGGAGGGGGUUCUCCCUCCCCGAGACGCUAAACCCGCCGGCAGCCUACUAUACUCUGUCUCUUUGCGUUGGCAUCUCGAGUACAAUCAAACAAGUUAAAACUUUCAACAACGGAUCUCUUGGUUCUG
This 225-nucleotide unclassified non-coding RNA is filed under the name plant metagenome. RNAcentral describes it as "partial contains small subunit ribosomal RNA, internal transcribed spacer 1, and 5.8S ribosomal RNA". The record is from RNAcentral.